This 306-nucleotide small nuclear RNA is filed under the name Castor canadensis (American beaver). RNAcentral's name for it is "7SK RNA (ENSCCNG00000020892.1)". It matches the Rfam family "7SK RNA". From Rfam's summary of the family: 7SK was discovered as an abundant small nuclear RNA in the mid-70s but a possible function has only recently been suggested. Two independent studies have found that 7SK RNA binds the CDK9/cyclin T complex (known as elongation factor P-TEFb). Lineage: Eukaryota; Metazoa; Chordata; Mammalia; Rodentia; Castoridae. The record is from RNAcentral.
GGAUGUGAGAGUGAUCUGGCUACGACAUCUGUCACCCCAUUGAUCACCAGGGUUGAUUCGGCUGAUCUGGCCGACUGGCUAGGCGGGUGUCCCCUUCCCUCCCCACUGCUCCAUGUGUGUCCCUCCCAAAGCUGUAUGCCAAGUCGAAGAGGAGGACCAUCCCCGAUAGAGGACCAUUCUUCUGUUAAGGGUAUACAAGUAGCUGCGCUCCCCUGCCAGAAUCUCCAGACAAGCUCUCAAGAAUGGUUUAGUUCCAGAAAUUUCCAUUUAAUACUUUUGGACCUGGUUGACCACAGGUAGCUUAAA